Molecule: transfer RNA, 69 nt
Filed under: Ictidomys tridecemlineatus (thirteen-lined ground squirrel)
Lineage: Eukaryota; Metazoa; Chordata; Mammalia; Rodentia; Sciuridae
Description: Spermophilus tridecemlineatus (thirteen-lined ground squirrel) tRNA
Rfam family: tRNA
About the family: Transfer RNA (tRNA) molecules are approximately 80 nucleotides in length. Their secondary structure includes four short double-helical elements and three loops (D, anti-codon, and T loops).
Source: Rfam by way of RNAcentral
GGGGCUGUAGCUCAGUGGCAGAGCACUUGCUUAGCAAGCAUGAAGCACUGGGUUUGAUCCUCAGCACCA